This 82-nucleotide microRNA precursor is filed under the name Picea abies (Norway spruce). Its description in RNAcentral is "miR11482 stem-loop (pab-MIR11482)". The record is from miRBase by way of RNAcentral. Lineage: Eukaryota; Viridiplantae; Streptophyta; Pinopsida; Pinales; Pinaceae.
UAUUAAUUGCAAAAGGAUUGGUUAGGACUAAACAAACAACCUCUUGUCUGUUUUGUCUUAACCAGUCCUUCUGCAAUCCACA